UACGGAGGGUGCAAGCGUUAUCCGGAUUCACUGGGCUUAAAGGGUGCGUAGGCGGGUUGGUAAGUCAGUGGUGAAAUCUCCGAGCUUAACUUGGAAACUGCCAUUGAUACUAUCAGUCUUGAAUACCGUGGAGGUCAGCGGAAUAUGUCAUGUAGCGGUGAAAUGCUUAGAUAUGACAUAGAACACCAAUUGCGAAGGCAGCUGACUACGCGAAUAUUGACACUGAUGCACGAAAGCGUGGGGAUCAAACAGG
RNAcentral lists this ribosomal RNA (253 nucleotides) under uncultured bacterium. Its description in RNAcentral is "partial 16S ribosomal RNA". It matches the Rfam family "Bacterial small subunit ribosomal RNA", at positions 524 to 776 of the family's 1533-position model. The record is from RNAcentral.